Molecule: ribosomal RNA, 386 nt
Filed under: marine Metazoa environmental sample
Lineage: Eukaryota; Metazoa
Description: SSU rRNA
Rfam family: Eukaryotic small subunit ribosomal RNA
Source: RNAcentral
AGCUCCAAUAGCGUAUAUUAAAGUUGCUGCAGUUAAAAAGCUCGUAGUUGGAUCUCAGGGUACCUGGUGUAGCCGGUAUAGCUCACGCUAAAACUGGUCUGACCCCGUAACGUGUGGUAUUCGUCUCCGGGUGCACUUCAUUGGGUGCUCGUGAGGGGCCUCGUAGUUACUGUGAAAAAAUUAGAGUGUUCAAAGCAGGAUCAUAUGUUCGGAUAGUCGUGCAUGGAAUAACUGAAUACGUGACUGGCGCUUGUCAGUUGGUCUCGGCGACUGGCCCAAUGAUUUAGAGGGACUGCCGGGGGCAUUGGUAUGGCGGGGUUAGAGGUGAAAUUUUUGGAUCCUCGCCAGACCCACAAAAGCGAAAGCAUUUGCCAAGAAUGUCUUCA